Molecule: ribosomal RNA, 457 nt
Filed under: uncultured bacterium
Lineage: Bacteria
Description: bacterial SSU rRNA
Rfam family: Bacterial small subunit ribosomal RNA
Source: RNAcentral
ACGAACGCUGGCGGCGUGCUUAACACAUGCAAGUCGAACGGAAAGGCCCUUUCGGGGGUACUCGAGUGGCGAACGGGUGAGUAACACGUGGGUAACCUGCCCCUUGCUUCGGGAUAACUCCGGGAAACCGGGGCUAAUACCGGAUAUUCAUUGCUGUCCGCAUGGGUGGUGGUGGACAGUUUUUCGGCUGGGGAUGGGCCCGCGGCCUAUCAGCUUGUUGGUGGGGUGAUGGCCUACCAAGGCUUCGACGGGUAGCCAGCCUGAGAGGGCGACCGGCCACACUGGGACUGAGACACGGCCCAGACUCCUACGGGAGGCAGCAGUGGGGAAUAUUGCGCAAUGGGCGGAAGCCUGACGCAGCGACGCCGCGUGAGGGAUGACGGCCUUCGGGUUGUAAACCUCUUUCAGCAGGGACGAAUUUGACGGUACCUGUAGAAGAAGCACCGGCCAACUACGU